CGUAACUGGAGGUUGGCCUGUUGUGUGUAUGAGUGUGUGUGUGUCAUUACGGAAAGGGGCGUUACCGACCCUGUCUCUGUGGCCUACAAAAAUGACACAGCAAGAUAAAUUAGUUUGAGUGUUGAUUUCAAUAGUCACUGAAUAGCCUUAUUUUUAAAUGCUCAAAGCGGGUAGUUCUUGCAACAUGGUACAGUCAAGAAGAGAUGUCCGCAUUCUGUUGCUUGGUGAACCUGGUGUUGGGAAGACAUCCUUGAUCUUGUCUCUAGUGAGUGAAGAAUUCCCAGAAGAAGUGCCAGCAAAAUCUGAAGAAAUUACUAUACCUGCUGAUGUCACUCCUGAGAAAGUGCCAACACA
This is a long non-coding RNA of Pollicipes pollicipes, 354 nucleotides long. RefSeq lists it as uncharacterized. The record is from RefSeq and is a predicted model, not a curated record. The transcript is spliced from 3 exons. NCBI's taxonomy places the organism in Eukaryota, Metazoa, Arthropoda, Thecostraca, Pollicipedomorpha, Pollicipedidae.